UUAAAGACGUCAGUUUGACAGAUAUCCUAAAAUGGUUACCCAGCCGCCAUGACAAUCGUGAAUUCUUAUUCUAUUCACGAUUAGCAGUGAUGAAUAACGAUUUGAUGUGAUUAAUUUAAUAAAUAUGGAAUCAAAAAUAGAUUUGCGAACCUGAUUUAAAGCUAGCUUAUAUGUUUUACGUAUUAAACAAGUAAUGCAGCAUCAACAGGAGGUUUCGUCAAGUCAACAAUAUCGGGGUAUUAAAUAUUUAUAAGUCGAGAUAAAUUUUAAUUGGAAUUAACACACAAUUCAUUCUCACAGCAUACAACCUGUAUUCCGAGUUCAUAAACAUUUAUAAAGUGAACCUUUUUGAUACAGAAUUUUGAUAAUGAACAUUGAACACGCCCUUACAAGAACCGCUCACCUCCCGACCUCGCUGUUAUUUACGUACCACAGAUAAACUCCCUUUGAAGUCGCAACAAGUGAUUGUUAUUACAUAUUACUGAUCAAUUACAAUAUUAUGUAGAUACAGCAAUAAAAUCUGGUAUAGAUUCUAAUUCCUUUGACUUAUUGCCACAGACUGUAUAGGAAAUCAAUAAUUUUCUGCAAAACGUCAUCCUAAACGUCAGUCGAGGUCGUUAAAUGGCAAUAAUAUUGUUGUUUCUAUAUAAAUACGUUAUAUAUUAUGUUAUUAUAUGUAAUUAAGUUCAAAUCUUAUAAAAAUUUAAUAACAAACUAUGAAUAAAGUUACGCUUAAGUUAAAAUGACGUUUUACGUAACGAAUUACGCUAUCUCAUUUCGCUGACGACCGUCAAGGGUGAAUUUAACGUU
This is a long non-coding RNA of Danaus plexippus (monarch butterfly), 810 nucleotides long. RefSeq lists it as uncharacterized. The record is from RefSeq and is a predicted model, not a curated record. The transcript is spliced from 3 exons. Lineage: Eukaryota; Metazoa; Arthropoda; Insecta; Lepidoptera; Nymphalidae.